Molecule: non-coding RNA, 513 nt
Organism: Pelobates cultripes (western spadefoot toad)
Lineage: Eukaryota; Metazoa; Chordata; Amphibia; Anura; Pelobatidae
Source: the annotation of a GenBank genome assembly
AAAAAAAAAAUCCCCUAUACCCAUUGUUUUGAGUGAGGAUAGUUCUGAAAAAACUUCCAUCUAGAGCGAAAAAAACAGAUGGAAGAGAGAUAAAUGUAGAUAAUUAAAUCCCACUGAAAGGGGAAAAUAGUCACAACAAUCUAUUGGUUAUAAUCAAGAUUGCAGAAAUAUAGAUUUAUAGAAACAUGGAGAAUGACACUUUUUCAUUAAGACCUUUAGGCCACACUGUGUCUAAUGUCCUAAUCCAGUUUUUUCCGAUCACCACCCCAUAGCAGAGGAGGUACAUGAUCAAUAGCUGUGAAUUUGAGAGUCGGGAGUUGGUGUCCCAUUGCCAAAAAAUGUUUGGCUACUGGCAGUUCUGCUUUUUUGUCCCUGUAUGCCACUAAUAUUAGAACGAUGGUUCCUAAUUCUCUCUCUGAGAGGUAGGUCUGUUUUCCCUAUGUAGGAUAAUCCACAUGGGCACUGUAGUUUGUAUAUGACAAAAUCAGUCGUACAUGUCAGUCUGUGACGUAU